CCCUUAGAUGUUCUGGGCUGCACGCGCGCUACACUGAAGCUAUCAACACGUUUUCCCUCCCUGAGAAGGGCGGGUAACCUUUUGAAUCAGCUUCGUGGUAGGGAUCGGGGCUUGCAAUUGUUCCCCGUGAACCAGGAAUUCCUAGUAGACGCGAGUCAUAAGCUCGCAUCGAUUAAGUCCCUGCCCUUUGUACACACCGCCCGUCGCUACUACCGAUUGAACGUUUUAGUGAAGCAUUUGGACCGACGCAUCUCAGUUUAACCGCUGGUUUGUGUUGGAAAGACUUCCAAACUUGAGCGUUUAGAGGAAGUAAAAGUCGUAACA
Molecule: ribosomal RNA, 324 nt
Filed under: uncultured eukaryote
Lineage: Eukaryota
Description: partial 18S ribosomal RNA
Rfam family: Eukaryotic small subunit ribosomal RNA
Source: RNAcentral